CCUACGGGUGGCUGCAGUGGGGAAUUUUGGACAAUGGGCGCAAGCCUGAUCCAGCCAUUCCGCGUGAGUGAAGAAGGCCUUCGGGUUGUAAAGCUCUUUCGCAAGGGAAGAAAACUUAUCCUCUAACAUAGGAUGAGGUUGACGGUACCUUGAUAAGAAGCACCGGCUAACUACGUGCCAGCAGCCGCGGUAAUACGUAGGGUGCGAGCGUUGCUCGGAAUUACUGGGCGUAAAGCUUGAGCACACUGUUGAAAUCCCUGGGCUCAACCUAGGAACUGCGUUUGAAACUGCAAGACUAGAAUAUGUCAGAGGGGGGUAGAAUUCCACGUGUAGCAGUGAAAUGCGUAGAGAUGUGGAGGAAUAUCAAUGGCGAAGGCAGCCCCCUGGGAUAAUAUUGACGCUCAUGCACGAAAGCGUGGGGAGCAAACAGGAUUAGAUACCCGAGUAGUC
This 450-nucleotide ribosomal RNA is filed under the name uncultured bacterium. RNAcentral's name for it is "partial 16S ribosomal RNA". It matches the Rfam family "Bacterial small subunit ribosomal RNA", at positions 338 to 795 of the family's 1533-position model. The record is from RNAcentral.